CCUACGGGGUGCAGCAGUCGAGAAUCAUUCACAAUGGGGGAAACCCUGAUGGUGCGACGCCGCGUGGGGGAAUGAAGGUCUUCGGAUUGUAAACCCCUGUCAUGUGGGAGCAAAUUAAAAAGAUAGUACCACACGAGGAAGAGACGGCUAACUCUGUGCCAGCAGCCGCGGUAAUACAGAGGUCUCAAGCGUUGUUCGGAAUCACUGGGCGUAAAGCGUGCGUAGGCUGUUUCGUAAGUCGUGUGUGAAAGGCGCGGGCUCAACCCGCGGACGGCACAUGAUACUGCGAGACUAGAGUAAUGGAGGGGGAACCGGAAUUCUCGGUGUAGCAGUGAAAUGCGUAGAUAUCGAGAGGAACACUCGUGGCGAAGGCGGGUUCCUGGACAUUAACUGACGCUGAGGCACGAAGGCCAGGGGAGCGAAAGGGAUUAGAUACCCUGGUAGUC
Molecule: ribosomal RNA, 446 nt
Filed under: uncultured bacterium
Lineage: Bacteria
Description: partial 16S ribosomal RNA
Rfam family: Bacterial small subunit ribosomal RNA
Source: RNAcentral